RNAcentral lists this ribosomal RNA (356 nucleotides) under uncultured eukaryote. Its description in RNAcentral is "partial 18S ribosomal RNA". It matches the Rfam family "Eukaryotic small subunit ribosomal RNA", at positions 1469 to 1796 of the family's 1831-position model. The record is from RNAcentral.
CCCUUUAGAUGUUCUGGGCUGCACGCGCGCUACACUGACGAGCUCAACGAGUUUUCGCGAGCCGCUUCGGCGCGCUCGGAACCUUGGCCGAGAGGUCUGGGUAAACUUUUGAGUGCUCGUCGUGCUGGGGAUAGAUGAUUGCAAUUAUUCGUCUUCAACGAGGAAUUCCUAGUAAGCGCAAGUCAUCAGCUUGCGCUGAUUACGUCCCUGCCCUUUGUACACACCGCCCGUCGCUCCUACCGAUGAAUGAUCCGGUGAAUUCGUAGGAUAGCGAGCAAAUGCCGUCUGGCGACAGACGGUUUGCUUGUCAGAAUACGUGUGAAUCAUGUCAUUUAGAGGAAGGAGAAGUCGUAACA